AGUGAACGCUGGCGGUAGGCCUAACACAUGCAAGUCGAACGGCAGCACAGUAAGAGCUUGCUCUUACGGGUGGCGAGUGGCGGACGGGUGAGGAAUACAUCGGAAUCUACUUUUUCGUGGGGGGUAACGUAGGGAAACUUACGCUAAUACCGCAUACGGCCUACGGGUGAAAGCAGGGGAUCUUCGGACCUUGCGCGAUUGAAUGAGCCGAUGUCGGAUUAGCUAGUUGGCGGGGUAAAGGCCCACCAAGGCGACGAUCCGUAGCUGGUCUGAGAGGAUGAUCAGCCACACUGGAACUGAGACACGGUCCAGACUCCUACGGGAGGCAGCAGUGGGGAAUAUUGGACAAAGGGCGCAAGCCUGAUCCAGCCAUACCGCGUGGGUGAAGAAGGCCUUCGGGUUGUAAAGCCCUUUUGUUGGGAAAGAAAAGCAGCAGGUUAAUACCCCGCUGUUCUGACGGUACCCAAAGAAUAAGCACCGGCUAACUUCGUG
RNAcentral lists this ribosomal RNA (492 nucleotides) under uncultured bacterium. RNAcentral describes it as "partial 16S ribosomal RNA". It matches the Rfam family "Bacterial small subunit ribosomal RNA", at positions 29 to 507 of the family's 1533-position model. The record is from RNAcentral.